This 451-nucleotide ribosomal RNA is filed under the name uncultured Pseudomonas sp. RNAcentral's name for it is "bacterial SSU rRNA". It matches the Rfam family "Bacterial small subunit ribosomal RNA", at positions 930 to 1382 of the family's 1533-position model. Lineage: Bacteria; Pseudomonadati; Pseudomonadota; Gammaproteobacteria; Pseudomonadales; Pseudomonadaceae. The record is from RNAcentral.
CGGUGGAGCAUGUGGUUAAUUCGAAGCAACGCGAAGAACUUACCAGGCCUUGACAUGCAGAGAACUUUCCAGAGAUGGAUUGGUGCCUUCGGGAACUCUGACACAGGUGCUGCAUGGCUGUCGUCAGCUCGUGUCGUGAGAUGUUGGGUAAGUCCCGUAACGAGCGCAACCCUUGUCCUUAGUUACCAGCACGUUAUGGUGGGCACUCUAAGGAGACUGCCGGUGACAAACCGGAGGAAGGUGGGGGAUGACGUCAAGUCAUCAUGGCCCUUACGGCCUGGGCUACACACGUGCUACAAUGGUCGGUACAAAGGGUUGCCAAGCCGCGAGGUGGAGCUAAUCCCAUAAAACCGAUCGUAGUCCGGAUCGCAGUCUGCAACUCGACUGCGUGAAGUCGGAAUCGCUAGUAAUCGUGAAUCAGAAUGUCACGGUGAAUACGUUCCCGGGCCUU